Molecule: microRNA, 23 nt
Filed under: Dasypus novemcinctus (nine-banded armadillo)
Lineage: Eukaryota; Metazoa; Chordata; Mammalia; Cingulata; Dasypodidae
Also listed under: 18 other names
Description: dno-miR-494-3p
Gene: dno-miR-494-3p
Source: miRBase by way of RNAcentral
UGAAACAUACACGGGAAACCUCU